AAUGGGUAAGAGCCUUAACUUUCUUGAUAUGAAGUUUAAGGUUAUGAUAUAAUGUGCCCAGUGGGCCACUUUUGGUAAGCAGAACUGGCGCUGUGGGAUGAACCAAACGUAAUGUUACGGUGCCCAAAUUAACAACUCAUGCAGAAACCAUGAAAGGCGUUGGUUGCUUAAAACAGCAGGACGGUGAUCAUGGAAGUCGAAAUCCGCUAAGGAGUGUGUAACAACUCACCUGCCGAAGCAACUAGCCCUUAAAAUGGAUGGCGCUUAAGUUGUAUACCUAUACAUUACCGCUAAAGUAGAUGAUUUAUAUUACUUGUGAUAUAAAUUUUGAAACUUUAGUGAGUAGGAAGGUACAAUGGUAUGCGUAGAAGUGUUUGGCGUAAGCCUUCAUGGAGCUGCCAUUGGCACAGAUCUUGGUGGUAGUAGCAAAUAAUCGAAUGAGACCUUGGAGGACUGAAGUGGAGAAGGGUUUCGUGUGAACAGUGGUUGAUCACGAGUUAGUCGGUCCUAAGUUCAAGGCGAAAGCCGAAAAUUUUCAAGUAAAAAAUCAGUGAGUAAUAUUGUCAAAUCUUUUAUGAUUUUUAAAUACUUGAAUAAUUUUGAACGAAAGGGAAUACGGUUCCAAUUCCGUAACCUGUUGAGUAUCCGUUUGUUAUUAAAUAUGGGCCUCGUGCUCAUCCUGGCAACAGGAACGACCAUAAAGAAGCCGUCGAGAGAUAUCGGAAGAGUUUUCUUUUCUGUUUUAUAGCCGUACUACCAUGGAAGUCUUUCACAGAGAGAUAUGGUAGAUGGGCUAGAAGAGCAUGACAUAUACUGUUGUGUCGAUAUUUUCUCCUCGGACCUUGAAAAUUUAUGGUGGGGACACGCAAACUUCUCAACAGGCCAUACCAAUAUCCGCAGCUGGUCUCCAAGGUGAAGAGUCUCUAGUCGAUAGAAUAAUGUAGGUAAGGGAAGUCGGCAAAUUAGAUCCGUAACUUCGGGAUAAGGAUUGGCUCUGAAGAUUGAGAUAGUCGGGCUUGAUUGGGAAACAAAUAACAUGGUUUAUGUGCUCGUUCUGGGUAAAUAGAGUUUCUAUCAUUUAUGGUAGUUACUUGUUCCCCGGAUAGUUUAGUUACGUAGCCAAUUGUGGAACUUUCUUGCUAAAAUUUUUAAGAAUACUAAUUGGGUUAAACCAGUUAGUUCUUAUUAAUUAUAACGAUUAUCAAUUAACAAUCAAUUCAGAACUGGCACGGACUUGGGGAAUCCGACUGUCUAAUUAAAACAAAGCAUUGUGAUGGCCCUAGCGGGUGUUGACACAAUGUGAUUUCUGCCCAGUGCUCUGAAUGUCAAAGUGAAGAAAUUCAAGUAAGCGCGGGUCAACGGCGGGAGUAACUAUGACUCUCUUAAGGAAGAUAUGGAUCUGAACAAUAGCGUAGAAGGGGAGUCAUUCCGUAAUUCGUAAAUCGUAAAAAUUAGAUCAAGUUGAUUCAAGACCUCCUCGUGGUAUCUUCUGGAUGCUAUUAGACUAAAGU
Non-coding RNA from Drosophila persimilis, 1511 nucleotides. NCBI's taxonomy places the organism in Eukaryota, Metazoa, Arthropoda, Insecta, Diptera, Drosophilidae. The record is from Rfam.